Molecule: ribosomal RNA, 392 nt
Filed under: uncultured Glomeromycotina
Lineage: Eukaryota; Fungi; Glomeromycota
Description: SSU rRNA
Rfam family: Eukaryotic small subunit ribosomal RNA
Source: RNAcentral
AGCAGCCGCGGUAAUUCCAGCUCCAAUAGCGUAUAUUAAAGUUGUUGCAGUUAAAAAGCUCGUAGUUGAAUUUCGGGGUUAGUAGGUUGGUCGUGCCACUGGUAUGCACUGGCUUUACUGACUCCUCCUUCUUGAAGAACUGUAAUGUCAUUAAUUUGGUGUUGCAGGGAAACAGGACUGUUACUUUGAAAAAUUGAGUGUUUAAAGCAAGGCUAGCGCUUGAAUACAUUAGCAUGGAAUAAUGAAAUAGGACGUUUAAUUCUAUUUUGUUGGUUUCUAGGAUUGACGUAAUGAUUAAUAGGGAUAGUUGGGGGCAUUAGUAUUCAAUUGUCAGAGGUGAAAUUCUUGGAUUUAUUGAAGACUGACUACUGCGAAAGCAUUUGCCAAGGAUG